UCUCCGUUGGUGAACCAGCGGAGGGAUCAUUACAGGAUCGAAAGACUCCUAUAACCCCUGUGAACUUACUACAAAUACGUUGCUUCGGCGGGUGCCCCGGGUCUCCCGGGGCGUUCAGCCCGCCGGCAGCCUUCAAAUUCUGUUUCUUUGCGUUGGCAUCUCGAGUAUACAAAAAUAAGUUAAAACUUUCAACAACGGAUCUCUUGGUUCUA
Molecule: unclassified non-coding RNA, 212 nt
Filed under: plant metagenome
Description: partial contains small subunit ribosomal RNA, internal transcribed spacer 1, and 5.8S ribosomal RNA
Source: RNAcentral